Molecule: transfer RNA, 71 nt
Filed under: Hordeum vulgare
Lineage: Eukaryota; Viridiplantae; Streptophyta; Magnoliopsida; Poales; Poaceae
Also listed under: 1 other name
Description: tRNA-Gly
Rfam family: tRNA
About the family: Transfer RNA (tRNA) molecules are approximately 80 nucleotides in length. Their secondary structure includes four short double-helical elements and three loops (D, anti-codon, and T loops).
Source: RNAcentral
GGAAGCGUAGUUCAAUGGUAAAACAUCUCCUUGCCAAGGAGAAGAUACAUGUUCGAUUCCUAAAGCUUUCC